UACGGAGGGUGCGAGCGUUGUCCGGAAUCAUUGGGCGUAAAGGGCGCGUAGGUGGCGGGACAAGCGUGCGGUGAAAGCUCGGGGCUCAACCCCGGGUCGGCCGUGCGAACUGUUUUGCUUGAGCACUGUAGAGGCAGGCGGAAUUCCGGGUGUAGCGGUGGAAUGCGUAGAGAUCCGGAAGAACACCGGUGGCGAAGGCGGCCUGCUGGGCAGUAGCUGACACUGAGGCGCGACAGCGUGGGGAGCAAACAG
This 252-nucleotide ribosomal RNA is filed under the name uncultured bacterium. RNAcentral's name for it is "partial 16S ribosomal RNA". It matches the Rfam family "Bacterial small subunit ribosomal RNA", at positions 524 to 775 of the family's 1533-position model. The record is from RNAcentral.